UAAAAAUUUUUUAUAGUUUAAUUAAUUUAUUAAAAGUUUAUUUUACAUAUAAAUUUUAGUGUAUAUUUUUGUUUAUUUUAAAAAUAAAUUUUUUAUUAGCAUAGUAAUUAAUAUUAAACAAUUUAAGAAAUUAUGAUUUAGUAAUAUUUGAAUUAAUAACAAAUUUUGUGCCAGCAGUUGCGGUUAAACAAAAGUUAAAUUAAAUUUUAUUAGUUAAUUAAUAAAUAAAAAUCGAUUAAUAAAUAAUUUAAAAUUUAAAUUAUUAAGUGAAAUUUUAAUUUAAUUAAUUUUUAUAUUUAUAUUAUGAUUUAAUAAAUUUUUGUAAUAAACUAGGAUUAGAUACCCUAUUAUUAAAUUUUAAAAUUUUAUACUAAAAUAGUAAAUAAUUAUUUAUUGAAACUUAAAUAAUUUGGCGGUAUUUUAGUUCAUUUAGAGGAAUCUGUUUAAUAAUUGAUAAUCCACGAAUAAAUUUACUUAAUUUAUAAUUUUAUAUAUCGUUGUUAAAAAAAUAUUUUUUUAUAAUUAAAUAAUAUUUAAAUUUUUUUAAUUUAAAAUUAAAUCAGAUCAAGAUAUAGAUUAUAAUUAAGAAUAUAAUGGAUUACAAUAAAUUUAUUUAGAUGAAUAUUAUUUUGUAAUAAAUAAUUGAAGGUGGAUUUAAAUGUAAUUUUAUUUAAUUUAAUAAAAUGAUUUUUAAUUAAAAUAUGUACAUAUUGCCCGUCGCUUUCAUAUAUUCAUAUAUAUAUAUAAAUAUUAUAUAGAAAAGUUGAAAUAAGUCGUAACAAAGUAGGGGUACUGGAAAGUGUUUCUAGAAAGAA
This 815-nucleotide non-coding RNA is filed under the name Risoba prominens. Lineage: Eukaryota; Metazoa; Arthropoda; Insecta; Lepidoptera; Nolidae. The record is from RNAcentral.